GUGGGGAAUCUUAGACAAUGGGGGAAACCCUGAUCUAGCCAUGCCGCGUGAGCGAUGAAGGCCUUAGGGUUGUAAAGCUCUUUCAGCUGGGAAGAUAAUGACGGUACCAGCAGAAGAAGCCCCGGCUAACUCCGUGCCAGCAGCCGCGGUAAUACGGAGGGGGCUAGCGUUGUUCGGAAUUACUGGGCGUAAAGCGCACGUAGGCGGACCGGAAAGUCAGAGGUGAAAUCCCAGGGCUCAACCUUGGAACUGCCUUUGAAACUCCUGGUCUUGAGGUCGAGAGAGGUGAGUGGAAUUCCGAGUGUAGAGGUGAAAUUCGUAGAUAUUCGGAGGAACACCAGUGGCGAAGGCGGCUCACUGGCUCGAUACUGACGCUGAGGUGCGAAAGCGUGGGGAGCAAACAGGAUUAGAAACCCUAGUAGUCC
This 425-nucleotide ribosomal RNA is filed under the name uncultured bacterium. Its description in RNAcentral is "partial 16S ribosomal RNA". It matches the Rfam family "Bacterial small subunit ribosomal RNA", at positions 354 to 796 of the family's 1533-position model. The record is from RNAcentral.